ACUUGUGCUCUCCCGAUCUUUAGUAGAAAUUGCACCAAUAACAAGGUAUGAAUAGGGUAAGUUGAGAAAGUUCACUUCUUGCUCCUCUAGAGAAUCUAGUAGUCUUGAUCAAACGGGGGGCCAUUUGGGUUGGUUAUGGCAUUAAUAUUCUACCUAUGUGAAGUAUCUGGUUACCUAUGCACAUUAGUUCAGAUCACUUAAUAUAAUUGGCAUCUGUCACUCAACAUACUCUUAAAAACUCUGUUGCUCAUUCUAGCCUUGCUUAUUUAAAAACAUACAGGGCCAUACUGAAAUCUGAGGAUUGCUGCUUCAAGGAUCAUUAUGCUCUGUGAAACUGACCUUUUACUCACUUUAUGGAAAAAGACGACUUGCUUAGCACCAUAGCCAUGCUUGUUGAACCUAAGUGGAGCUUCUGAGCUUUGUACUAAUUAAGAUUUUCAUAGUUGUUUUCUCACGGUGGUAGAUGGAUUGUUUGUAAAUAAAUUGGCUUCCAAGAUUGAGUUGACCAGC
This is a long non-coding RNA of Leopardus geoffroyi (Geoffroy's cat), 510 nucleotides long. RefSeq lists it as uncharacterized. Lineage: Eukaryota; Metazoa; Chordata; Mammalia; Carnivora; Felidae. The transcript has 3 exons. The record is from RefSeq and is a predicted model, not a curated record.